CAUUAGGUGACCGAACG
RNAcentral lists this transfer RNA (17 nucleotides) under Okanagana formosa. RNAcentral describes it as "partial tRNA-Lys". Lineage: Eukaryota; Metazoa; Arthropoda; Insecta; Hemiptera; Cicadidae. The record is from RNAcentral.